UACGUAGGGUGCGAGCGUUACUCGGAAUUACUGGGCGUAAAGCGUGCGCAGGCGGUUUUGUAAGCCAGAUGUGAAAUCCCCGGGCUUAACCUGGGAAGGGCAUUUGGGACUGCAAGGCUUGAGUGCGGCAGAGGAGACUGGAAUUCCUGGUGUAGCAGUGAAAUGCGUAGAUAUCAGGAGGAAUACCGAUGGCGAAGGCAGGUCUCUGGGCUGACACUGACGCUCAUGCACGAAAGCGUGGGGAGCAAACAGG
RNAcentral lists this ribosomal RNA (253 nucleotides) under uncultured bacterium. Its description in RNAcentral is "partial 16S ribosomal RNA". It matches the Rfam family "Bacterial small subunit ribosomal RNA", at positions 524 to 776 of the family's 1533-position model. The record is from RNAcentral.